Molecule: long non-coding RNA, 1066 nt
Filed under: Apteryx haastii (Great spotted kiwi)
Lineage: Eukaryota; Metazoa; Chordata; Aves; Apterygiformes; Apterygidae
Description: lncRNA (ENSAHAG00000012035.1)
Source: RNAcentral
AUCGGAGCAAAAUAAACCUUAAUGAUGCAUGUGCAGUAAUUACAGCUCGAGCUGGGUGUCUCCAAAGAGGGACCCCGAACAAAGAAAUCCCUGGGCAAUAAAACCCUUACAAUCUAAAUUCCCAACCUCAUGUGAUAGUUCGGACCAGGAACAUUUAGACCUGGGGUCUUCCCCUUCUUCACUGGGUCCCUUCGUUGUCUCUUAGGCAGGUUGCCUCUUUUCUUAUUUUCAAGAUUGCAGCUUCUGCUGUUGGUCAUAACUUCUCUAUCUUUCUGGCUUCAGCCACCUCUGGGGCCCUACUUAACUAGCUAGAAGUUCGUCAUAUGAUCUAAGCGCGGCCUAAGGCUUCAGAAGAUCUUGCUACCCAUGCUAAGCAAGUUUAUACAGUUAGUGUUAACACAAGCUUACAUCUCCUUAUGUUUGCAUAAGAAAGAAGGAUUAAUAAAUAAUACACUACUACAGCCUAAUGCUAGCAAUUAAACCUACCAACUGCAGUCCAAUAUUCUCUAAUAAAGUGACCUCACAACCACAAACAGCAGCCAUGCAACUAGACCUCACAACCACAAACAGCAGCCAUGCAACUAGCACUGGCCUAUCAGCCACUGAGCCACAAGUGACCUCACAACAACAAACACCAGCCACGUGACGAACACUGGCCUAUCAGGCACUGAGGCACAAGUGUCCUCACAACCACAAAAGGAGUCCUGUUCUUGAUGCUGUCUAAUCAGAUACUGAAGCAAAAGACACCUCACAAGUACAAAAAGGAGCAAUGUGGCUGCCAGUCUCCUAGCAGAUAGUGAGGCCAAAUGCCUCCACAAACACAAAGAGCAGCAAUAUGCAUCGAGCUGGACUGUCAGGUGCUGAGGCUCAAGUGACUUCACAGGCAGCCAUGAAGCCAUAUAGCUGCUCCUGGCCUCUUAGGCACUGAGGCACAACUGCCCUAAACCAGCACAAACAGCAGCAAUGUGCAUGCUGAUCACCAGUCACAUACUGAUGCACAACUGACCACAAAAGCACAAACAGCAGCAAUGGGCCUGCUCCCCGUUUAUGAGGUGUUGAGACACAA